This is a small nuclear RNA of Camellia sinensis, 131 nucleotides long. The record is from RefSeq and is a predicted model, not a curated record. NCBI's taxonomy places the organism in Eukaryota, Viridiplantae, Streptophyta, Magnoliopsida, Ericales, Theaceae.
CUAUUUACAGCAAGGACAGAUAGUUGGCAUCUCCCCCAACAAGGGACAGAAACAGCCUCCGGGCAUACCUGUUACCAGACACAUCCAGUUAAGGCAGCCCACUUCCGUGGAUCUUCUUACACCCAAAUUUU